UAAUAAGGUUUAUGCAUGUAAUCUGCUUAGUGGCAGCAUAGGUGCUGUUGGAUCUAUUAUUGUCUGGCACUUUACUCAUGAUGGAAAAAAACAAAUUGCAACACAGGUAAUUGAAGAAAUUGAUGAGACGAACAACAAAAUCGUAUUUAAAGUAAUCGAAGGAGAGAUCGUAGAGAAGAUAUACAAAGCAUUCAAGAUAACAUUUAGUUAUGAACAAAAAAAUGGUAAACAAUGGGGAAUUUGGACCAUGGAGUUUGAGAGGCCGGAUACAAAUGUACCUUACCCAACUUCUUUUAUGGACUAUCUCUGUGUAUUCUAAAAGACAUGGAUGACCACGCCAGUAGUAAAUAGAUCUUGAUAUGACAAUGAAGGAAUGCCUCUAUGCGUAUGGAUGCAUUUGUUUAGUUAAUAAAGCCAUAAGCACAUAAAAAGUAAAACGCUAUAAACCUUUAAAAAAAAGCUAUAUAUCUUUAGAUUGUAAUAACACAUGUGUAUUAUUCCCUUUCCCUAGUGCAUGUAAUAUAAAACUUGAAUGCUUGAAACCCGAUAUCUGAAUGUUACAUAAGAAAUUCAAUGUACUUGAAUGAUCUAUGCAUGAAUGUAAAUUAGAAACAAAGCUAGCUGAAAUGUAUAUGUGUAACACUACAAGAAAUACUAAUUAUAUGUAUUGUUUUC
RNA transcript from Helianthus annuus (common sunflower), 675 nucleotides. RefSeq lists it as uncharacterized. The transcript is spliced from 2 exons. Lineage: Eukaryota; Viridiplantae; Streptophyta; Magnoliopsida; Asterales; Asteraceae. The record is from RefSeq and is a predicted model, not a curated record.